GCCCAGACCGACCUCAACAACAGAUGGCUGUAACAAGAACAGACUCUGUUGCUAAUGAGGAAUGACGGCAACAAGGGGGUCCUCUUGUCACCUAUUCAAAUGAUUUUACCACUUAUGUUUGUUCCUUCACAGACCGCCAGGUUUGCCUAACAUUGGGAGGAACCGCCUAUUCUUGUCUUUUGGAUUCAGGGGCUGCACUUUCUACUGUUACUGCAAAGCCGGAGAGAGGAAGCCUUACAGAUAAGAGCAUUCCAUAUUCCUUUAGAUAAGGACAGCUGGGGCCACGCUUACCAAUUCAAUGUCAGUCCCUACCCGCUGAUAUUCCUGCCCACCGGAUCGCUCCAGGAGACUGGGUCUAUGUGAAAGAGUGGAAACACGAGCCUCUCCAACCCUGGCGGGCGGGCCCUUUCCAAGUCCUUCUUACCUCUCACACUGCUAUUCGAGUGAAAGAGCGAGACACUUGGAUACACCACACCCGAGUCAAGCUAGCCCCUAGGACGGGGCCAGAAGCAGAUGACUUCGGACCUCGAGGGAGCACCGCCAGCUCUUCCCACCAUGACCCGGAAGAGCCAGAAGCAGACGAUACCUGGAAAGCUGAACCUCUUGAGGGACUAAAACUUCUGUUCCGGUGAACAAAAUCCUAAGACUUUAUAACUAUAGGUUCUCAGACGGUGCUGCAGUGGCUAUUGCUUUUGGGUCUGCCCCUUGUACAAGCUAACCCACACCCAGCCACUAAACCUCUUCAGUGAAUAGCCACGUUGGGACACUUAUCUGAUUGUUGGCUGUGUCACAAAACCCGCUCUGA
Molecule: non-coding RNA, 805 nt
Organism: Chrysemys picta bellii (western painted turtle)
Lineage: Eukaryota; Metazoa; Chordata; Testudines; Emydidae
Source: RefSeq, a predicted model, not a curated record